Molecule: ribosomal RNA, 728 nt
Filed under: Staphylococcus aureus
Lineage: Bacteria; Bacillati; Bacillota; Bacilli; Caryophanales; Staphylococcaceae
Description: partial 23S ribosomal RNA
Rfam family: Bacterial large subunit ribosomal RNA
Source: RNAcentral
AUUAGACGAAUCAUCUGGAAAGAUGAAUCAAAGAAGGUAAUAAUCCUGUAGUCGAAAAUGUUGUCUCUCUUGAGUGGAUCCUGAGUACGACGGAGCACGUGAAAUUCCGUCGGAAUCUGGGAGGACCAUCUCCUAAGGCUAAAUACUCUCUAGUGACCGAUAGUGAACCAGUACCGUGAGGGAAAGGUGAAAAGCACCCCGGAAGGGGAGUGAAAUAGAACCUGAAACCGUGUGCUUACAAGUAGUCAGAGCCCGUUAAUGGGUGAUGGCGUGCCUUUUGUAGAAUGAACCGGCGAGUUACGAUUUGAUGCAAGGUUAAGCAGUAAAUGUGGAGCCGUAGCGAAAGCGAGUCUGAAUAGGGCGUUUAGUAUUUGGUCGUAGACCCGAAACCAGGUGAUCUACCCUUGGUCAGGUUGAAGUUCAGGUAACACUGAAUGGAGGACCGAACCGACUUACGUUGAAAAGUGAGCGGAUGAACUGAGGGUAGCGGAGAAAUUCCAAUCGAACCUGGAGAUAGCUGGUUCUCUCCGAAAUAGCUUUAGGGCUAGCCUCAAGUGAUGAUUAUUGGAGGUAGAGCACUGUUUGGACGAGGGGCCCCUCUCGGGUUACCGAAUUCAGACAAACUCCGAAUGCCAAUUAAUUUAACUUGGGAGUCAGAACAUGGGUGAUAAGGUCCGUGUUCGAAAGGGAAACAGCCCAGACCACCAGCUAAGGUCCCAAAAUAUAUG